GCCACUUGAACGGGGAACUAGUUAGUAAGGUCCCCUGGGAAACUGCUUUUGAAGGUGUCAGCGUCCAUCAGUGCUGGUCAGUCUUCAAGCACUGCCUCCUAAAAGCACAGGAGCAGGCGAUUCCAAAAUGUCGGAAGUCAAGCAGGCGGGGCAGAAGGCCAGCUUGGCUGAGCAGGGAUCUUCUUCUAGAGCUUAGGCAUAACAAGAAAGUCUAUGGUUGCUGGAAGCAGGGUCAGGAGACGAGGGACGCUGUUCGCAUUUGUAGGGAGAAAAUUCGUGUGGUCAAAGCCCAAUUAGAGUUGAAGCUGGCCGGGUCUGUGGGAGACAGUAAAAAGGGCUUUUUUAAACAUGUGAACAGAAAAAGGAGGACCAGAGAAAACAUAGGUCUACUACUUGAUGGGGAAGGUCACCUCACAGACAAGGACAUAGGCAAAGCAGAGACAUUUAAUGCCUUCUUGGCCUCCGUCUUCAAUGCUGAUGAUGGGCUUCAGGAUCCUGGGUGCCCUGAGCUGCAGGACCAUGACGGUGGGAAUGAUAAACUCCCAACCGAUCCUGAACAUGUGCGGGAUUUGCUGCUCCACCUGGAUCCAUACAAGUCCAUGGGGCCUGAUGGGAUUCAUCCCAGGGUGCUUAGAGAGCUGGCUGACGUCAUCGCGGGACCUCUCUCAAUUAUUUUUCAAAGGUCUUGGGAAUCUGGAGAGGUCCCAUUGGACUGGAAGCUGGCAAAUGUUGCACCAAUUUUCAAGAAGGGCAAGAAAGAAGACCCUGGCAACUACAGGCCUGUCAGUCUCAUGUCAGUGCCUGGUAAAAUUAUGGAGAGGAUGAUCCUUGAAGUUACUGAAGUGCACCUGGGGGACAAUGCAGUCAUUAGUCCCAGUCAACAUGGGUUCACAAGGGGUAGGUCCUGCUUAACAAAUCUGAUUUUCUUUUAUGAUAAAAUCAGGCUGACGGCUAGUCACCAGUGAGGUGACCCAGGGCUCCAUUUUAGGGCCAGUUCUUUUCAGUGUUUUUAUAAACAAUUUGGAUGUAGGACUAGAAGGUGUUUUGAGUAAAUUUGCUGAUGAUACUAAACCGGGAGGAGCUGUUGACUCUGUUGAGGGUGGAAAGGCCUUGCAGAGAGAUCUGGACACAUCGGAGAGCUGGGCGAUCACCAACCUCAUGAAGUUUAACAAGAGCAAGUGCUGGGUCCUUCACCUGGGACGUGGCAACCCUGGC
Molecule: long non-coding RNA, 1215 nt
Filed under: Anser brachyrhynchus (Pink-footed goose)
Lineage: Eukaryota; Metazoa; Chordata; Aves; Anseriformes; Anatidae
Description: lncRNA (ENSABRG00000003570.1)
Source: RNAcentral